UUGAACUCUUCAGCUGUGUGCAUAGACGGGAAUGAAUGUUGGCAAAGGGGGGCAACAAGCAACCCACAUUUCAGAUUCAACAAGCAAACCCACAUUUCCCUGCAUUGAUGUGCAGCAGUGUUGUUGACCCAGCACGAUGCUUGAGAUUUCCAACCUCACGAGGUCAUACCAUCCGCAACUACUUGAGUCCAUUCGUCCUCCGAUUCACAAACUCAUUCUCUUCUGUACUAACAUCGUGUUUCUACCCGCACUGCGUUGUUGCUUGCAAUGAUUUGCAUGCGGCAAAGGCCACAACGCGAAGCCGCCGACUGCCUCCGCGGAUCUCAGCAGUUUCGGGUUUUGAGCCUCGUCAUCAUGAUGCUGUCUUCAGAUUGCAACCUGCUCUCGGUUUCGCGUUUCACGACAUCGUCAAGAGCUCGAGGCAAAUUGGCUAACCAUGUAUGACCACGCUCUGCAUUUGCGCUCGUGCAGCAAUUCUUCGGGCCGGAGCUGGCCAAGGAACGCCUGGACGACGUCGACGAAGCCAUCAAGCCGUUGUCCGACACCGUCGUGGAUGGCGAUUCCAGACACACCAACUUCACCGCACAGUUGCGAUUCCAAUCUGCGGGCGACGACGGAUUCGCAAUCCUCGAUUCAAUCAUGUGUCUGCCGCCCAUGCAUGAAGCGUGUUGAGGCUUGUUAAAGUUUAGACUGAUGUUAGUGACUCACCGAGCUCUUCUUUUUGGAGGUGGGCACUGUGAUGUACGAGAAGUGUGACCUGCAAUAUCGACCACCAAAAGAAUAGCUAUGUGGUUCAUUCUUAUCAUUCUAAUUUUAAGCAAGCUUCAACAAGCUCAAUGCUGGAAUUUAAUGUGUAAACUUUUGUUUGAGAUAGGCUGUGUGGAUUUCCUUCCUUGGGUGUGUUAUGCUUAGUGCAGCUAUUCACAAUGAAAAAUUAUUAACAUUGGAAUAGGUUGUUAUUUUAGUUUUUGUGAUGUUUUUUAAGAAAGAAGAAGUUUGUAUUUGAAAUA
Molecule: non-coding RNA, 1010 nt
Organism: Physcomitrium patens
Lineage: Eukaryota; Viridiplantae; Streptophyta; Bryopsida; Funariales; Funariaceae
Source: RefSeq, a predicted model, not a curated record